This 850-nucleotide ribosomal RNA is filed under the name uncultured bacterium. RNAcentral's name for it is "bacterial SSU rRNA". It matches the Rfam family "Bacterial small subunit ribosomal RNA", at positions 33 to 878 of the family's 1533-position model. The record is from RNAcentral.
ACGCUGGCGGUAGGCUUAACACAUGCAAGUCGUGCGAGAAAGUAUCUUCGGAUAUGAGUAGAGCGGCGGACGGGUGAGUAACGCGUAGGAAUCUACCUAGUAGAAGGGGAUAGCCCGAGGAAACUCGGAUUAAUACCGUAUACCUCCUUCGGGAGAAAGAAGGCCUCUCAUUGAAGCUUUCGCUACUAGAUGAGCCUGCGUAAGAUUAGCUUGUUGGUGAGGUAAAGGCUCACCAAGGCAACGAUCUUUAGCGGGUCUGAGAGGACGAUCCGCCACAUUGGGACUGAGACACGGCCCAGACUCCUACGGGAGGCAGCAGUGGGGAAUAUUGGACAAUGGGCGCAAGCCUGAUCCAGCCAUACCGCGUGUGUGAAGAAGGCCCUAGGGUUGUAAAGCACUUUAAGUUGGGAAGAAAAGUUAUUGGCUAAUACCCAAUGACCGUGACAUUACCUUCAGAAUAAGGACCGGCUAAUUCCGUGCCAGCAGCCGCGGUAAUACGGAAGGUCCAAGCGUUAAUCGGAAUUACUGGGCGUAAAGCGCGCGUAGGUGGUUUAUUAAGUUGGAUGUGAAAUCCCCGGGCUCAACCUGGGAACUGCAUCCAAAACUGAUUCACUAGAGUACGAUAGAGGGAGGUAGAAUUCACAGUGUAGCGGUGGAAUGCGUAGAUAUUGUGAAGAAUACCAAUGGCGAAGGCAGCCUCCUGGAUCUGUACUGACACUGAGGUGCGAAAGCGUGGGUAGCGAACAGGAUUAGAUACCCUGGUAGUCCACGCCGUAAACGAUGUCAACUAGCUGUUGGGGAACUAUGUUCUUCAGUGGCGCAGCUAACGUAGUAAGUUGACCGCCUGGGG